AAUAGAUACCCGGGUAGUCCACGCCGUAAACGAUGAGUGCUAAGUGUUGGGGGGUUUCCGCCCCUCAGUGCUGCAGCUAACGCAUUAAGCACUCCGCCUGGGGAGUACGGCCGCAAGGCUGAAACUCAAAGGAAUUGACGGGGGCCCGCACAAGCGGUGGAGCAUGUGGUUUAAUUCGAAGCAACGCGAAGAACCUUACCAGGUCUUGACAUCCCGCUGCCCGGUAUAGAGAUAUAUCUUUCCCUUCGGGGACAGCGGUGACAGGUGGUGCAUGGUUGUCGUCAGCUCGUGUCGUGAGAUGUUGGGUUAAGUCCCGCAACGAGCGCAACCCUUGAUCUUAGCUGCCAGCAUUUAGUUGGGCACUCUAAGGUGACUGCCGGUGACAAACCGGAGGAAGGUGGGGAUGACGUCAAAUCAUCAUGCCCCUUAUGACCUGGGCUACACACGUGCUACAAUGGAUGGUACAAAGGGCUGCAAGACCGCGAGGUUUAGCCAAUCCCAUAAAACCAUUCUCAGUUCGGAUUGCAGG
Molecule: ribosomal RNA, 529 nt
Filed under: uncultured bacterium
Lineage: Bacteria
Description: bacterial SSU rRNA
Rfam family: Bacterial small subunit ribosomal RNA
Source: RNAcentral